Molecule: long non-coding RNA, 1169 nt
Organism: Medicago truncatula (barrel medic)
Lineage: Eukaryota; Viridiplantae; Streptophyta; Magnoliopsida; Fabales; Fabaceae
Exons: 4
Source: RefSeq, a predicted model, not a curated record
AAAAUUGGGGCGUUACAACGAUGAUGAGAAGUUUAACAUUCUUGUGUGGUGGAAGAAAAAUGAAGUAUGAUAUCCAGUUUUGGCAGCAAUGGUUACAGAUUGUUUGGCCACAUCGGUGUCAACUGUUGCUUCUGAAAGCGCAUUUAGCACUGGAGGAAGAGUUUUAGACACAUAUAGGAGUUCCUUGAGUCCGACAAUGGCUGAAGCUUUGAUAUGUUGUCAAAAUUGACUAAAACCUUUUUUCAUUGACUUCAAAGAUCUUAAUUUGAGUGAAGAGUAUCAGCUUUUAGAGAAUGUCGUUGAAGGUAACUUAGUAGCGUGUCUAUGAAUUUAUUGUGUAUUUGAUAUUGAGUAACAAAUUAAUUUAUUCUCUUUUAUUGCUUUGAAUGCAUUGUAGAAAUUGGACAAGUGUUAAGUGGUUCUGGAGUUGGUCUUGCUGGUGUUUCACCACCAGCAACUAGGCCUUCUGUUUAAUUCCACUAAAUGGUAUACUGUUUAUUAACUAUUCUUACUUUAUCAUACUUAGAGUAUUUGAUUUAUGUAAUACUAAUUAAGAGUAAUUUAAUGUCAUGCAAGAAUGACUUUUUUUGAUAUUUUGGAGUCAAAUAUGACUCAAUACUAAUGCACAACACAUACAUCUGCUUUUGAAUGAUAUGAAAUGUAACAUGCUUCAUUUUCUUGGCUCCAUUAUGAUUGUGGAGUGUGGACAUGGUUUGAUGUUGAUGGAACUGUUUCAACCGCUUGUUAAACUGAUUAAUGCUUAAUUAUUGGAUUAAGUUGAGAAGCUAUCAACCUAUGCCCAUGCCAUUAGAGAAGUAGAGAAUGAAGAGUUAUGAAGUAUUAUCUAUGUUUAUCAUAAAUGGUUGCUGCAAUUUAAUAAGUGGGAUUCUGGCUGUUAUAGACUUCUAGGGCUGCAGUUUAGCAUCAACUACAACAUUAUUCUCCAUGAUUCGCCAUGUUGUAGCAUCAACAAUUGCAAGCAGUCUGUGCUUUUAAAGCCAGUGGAAUUUAUUUCAUAUUUUACUCAAAUAUUGGAUGACUGUAAUAUAUUAUAAUACUUAUAAUGUUGAUACUGUUGGACAACUGUAAUAUUUACUAAUAUUGGCUGUGUUGUGCAAGUUUGCUGUUAGUCAAUGCAAACAAGUUAGUAUAAUUUAUAUUUGGAACAA